UAUGGCGACCGGCGCACGGGUGAGUAACACGUAUCCAACCUGCCGAUGACUCGGGGAUAGCCUUUCGAAAGAAAGAUUAAUACCCGAUGGCAUAGUUCUUCCGCAUGGUAGAACUAUUAAAGAAUUUCGGUCAUCGAUGGGGAUGCGUUCCAUUAGGCAGUUGGCGGGGUAACGGCCCACCAAACCGACGAUGGAUAGGGGUUCUGAGAGGAAGGCCCCCCACAUUGGUACUGAGACACGGACCAA
Molecule: ribosomal RNA, 246 nt
Filed under: uncultured bacterium
Lineage: Bacteria
Description: partial 16S ribosomal RNA
Rfam family: Bacterial small subunit ribosomal RNA
Source: RNAcentral